GUGGGGAAUCUUAGACAAUGGGCGCAAGCCUGAUCUAGCCAUGCCGCGUGAGCGAUGAAGGCCUUAGGGUUGUAAAGCUCUUUCAGGGGGGAAGAUAAUGACGGUACCCCCAGAAGAAGCCCCGGCUAACUCCGUGCCAGCAGCCGUGGUAAUACGGAGGGGGCUAGCGUUGUUCGGAAUUACUGGGCGUAAAGCGCACGUAGGCGGACCAGAAAGUCAGGGGUGAAAUCCCGGGGCUCAACCCCGGAACUGCCUUUGAAACUCCUGGUCAUGAGGUCGAGAGAGGUGAGUGGAAUUCCGAGUGUAGAGGUGAAAUUCGUAGAUAUUCGGAGGAACACCAGUGGCGAAGGCGGCUCACUGGCUCGAUACUGACGCUGAGGUGCGAAAGCGUGGGGAGCAAACAGGAUUAGAUACCCGAGUAGUCC
RNAcentral lists this ribosomal RNA (425 nucleotides) under uncultured bacterium. RNAcentral's name for it is "partial 16S ribosomal RNA". It matches the Rfam family "Bacterial small subunit ribosomal RNA", at positions 354 to 796 of the family's 1533-position model. The record is from RNAcentral.